UUCCCCAAUCCUCAGGCACAUGUGCACCUUGCAAAUGGCCUUAUCAUCCUUGGCCAGAUGCUAAUUUUCCAGAUCAGUGGAAGCACCAGUUAUCUAUAUUUAUAAACUGAAUAAAUGGAUGCCCUACACAAUUCUUACUAAUACUCGUGGAGCAGGUAACCAUACAUUGAGAUCUCUGCUAAUGCUGCCACAGAAAACCAGACACCCUCAUGAUGGUCUCUGGUACCAGGCACAAAAGAAACGGCAAAAGCAAGCCACCAUAUUGCAUUAACUAUGCAAAUGUCAUGGGAGUGUGACUGAUUGGCAGAACCAAAAUUACAUUCAGAGCUAUAGCUGCAAGACUUCCUGGAAAAUAUAGAAUUCAAGCCGCUGCAAUAAAGA
This 381-nucleotide long non-coding RNA is filed under the name Homo sapiens (human). RNAcentral's name for it is "HSALNT0110214". Lineage: Eukaryota; Metazoa; Chordata; Mammalia; Primates; Hominidae. The record is from RNAcentral.